RNAcentral lists this ribosomal RNA (301 nucleotides) under uncultured bacterium. RNAcentral describes it as "partial 16S ribosomal RNA". It matches the Rfam family "Bacterial small subunit ribosomal RNA", at positions 509 to 807 of the family's 1533-position model. The record is from RNAcentral.
CAGCCGCCGCGGGAAUACGUAGGUGGCAAGCGUUGUCCGGAAUUAUUGGGCGUAAAGGGCUCGCAGGCGGUUUCUUAAGUCUGAUGUGAAAGCCCCCGGCUCAACCGGGGAGGGUCACUGGAAACUGGGAAACUUGAGUGCAGAAGAGGAGAGUGGAAUUCCACGUGUAGCGGUGAAAUGCGUAGAGAUGUGGAGGAACACCUGUGGCGAAGGCGACUCUCUGGUCUGUAACUGACGCUGAGGAGCGAAAGCGUGGGGAGCGAACAGGAUUAGAUACCCGUGUAGUCCCUGUCUCUUAUAC